This 253-nucleotide ribosomal RNA is filed under the name uncultured bacterium. Its description in RNAcentral is "partial 16S ribosomal RNA". It matches the Rfam family "Bacterial small subunit ribosomal RNA", at positions 524 to 776 of the family's 1533-position model. The record is from RNAcentral.
UACGUAGGGGGCUAGCGUUGUCCGGAUUUAUUGGGCGUAAAGAGCGUGUAGGCGGCCUGACAGGUCUGCUGUGAAAACUCGAGGCUCAACCUCGAGAUGUCGGCGGAAACCGUCUGGCUAGAGUCCGGAAGAGGAGAGUGGAAUUCCAGGUGUAGCGGUGAAAUGCGUAGAUAUCUGGAGGAACACCGGUGGCGAAGGCGGCAUCCUGGACCGACACUGACGCUGAGGAGCGAAAGCCAGGGGAGCAAACGGG